This 305-nucleotide ribosomal RNA is filed under the name uncultured bacterium. Its description in RNAcentral is "bacterial SSU rRNA". It matches the Rfam family "Bacterial small subunit ribosomal RNA", at positions 337 to 634 of the family's 1533-position model. The record is from RNAcentral.
GCCUACGGGGGGCAGCAGUAGGGAAUUUUCGUCAAUGGGCGCAAGCCUGAACGAGCAAUGCCGCGUGAACGAGGAAGGUCUUCGGAUCGUAAAGUUCUGUUGAAGGGGAAAAAGAGCGGAGAGAGGAAAUGAACUCCGAUUGAUAUUACCCUUCGAGGAAGUCACGGCUAACUACGUGCCAGCAGCCGCGGUAAUACGUAGGUGGCGAGCGUUAUCCGGAAUGAUUGGGCGUAAAGGGUGCGUAGACGGUGAUGCAAGUCUGGAGUGAAAGGCGGGGGCCCAACCCCCGGACUGCUCUGGAAACU